Molecule: non-coding RNA, 245 nt
Organism: Chlorocebus sabaeus (green monkey)
Lineage: Eukaryota; Metazoa; Chordata; Mammalia; Primates; Cercopithecidae
Rfam family: Metazoan signal recognition particle RNA
About the family: The signal recognition particle (SRP) is a universally conserved ribonucleoprotein. It is involved in the co-translational targeting of proteins to membranes. The eukaryotic SRP consists of a 300-nucleotide 7S RNA and six proteins: SRPs 72, 68, 54, 19, 14, and 9.
Source: Rfam
GCCAGGCCUGGUGGCGGGCACCUGUAAUUCCAACUACUCGGGAGGCUGAGGCAGGAGAAUGGCGUAAACCCCGGAGGCGGAGCUUGCAGUGAGCUGAGAUCCGGCCACUGCACUCCAGCCUGGCAACAGAGCGAGACUCCNNNNNNNNNNGGAGUCUCGCUCUGUUGCCAGGCUGGAGUGCAGUGGCCGGAUCUCAGCUCACUGCAAGCUCCGCCUCCUGGGUUCACGCCAUUCUCCUGCCUCAG